RNAcentral lists this ribosomal RNA (460 nucleotides) under uncultured bacterium. RNAcentral's name for it is "partial 16S ribosomal RNA". It matches the Rfam family "Bacterial small subunit ribosomal RNA", at positions 338 to 795 of the family's 1533-position model. The record is from RNAcentral.
CCUACGGGAGGCAGCAGUGAGGAAUAUUGGUCAAUGGGCGCGAGUCUGAACCAGCCAAGUAGCGUGAAGGAUGACUGCCCUACGGGUUGUAAACUUCUUUUAUAAAGGAAUAAAGUGAGGCAAGUGUGCCUUUUUGUAUGUACUUUAUGAAUCAGGAUAGGCUAACUCCGUGCCAGCAGCCGCGGUAAUACGGAGGAUCCGAGCGUUAUCCGGAUUUAUUGGGUUUAAAGGGAGCGUAGGUGGGUUGUUAAGUCAGUUGUGAAAGUUUGCGGCUCAACCGUAAAAUGGCAUUUGAUACUGGCAGCCUUGAGUACAGUUGAGGUAGGCGGAAUUCGUGGUGUAGCGGUGAAAUGCUUAGAUAUCUCGAAGAACUCCGAUGGCGAAGGCAGCUUACUAAACUGCCACUGACAUUGAUGCUCGAAAGUGUGGGUAUCAAACAGGAUUAGAUACCCUUGUAGUC